AUUAUGGGACCUAUGGGGGCAUUAUGGGAUCAUUAUGGGACCUGUGGGGGCAUUAUGGGACCUAUGGGGGCAUUAUGGGACCUAUGGGGGCAUUAUGGGAUCGUUAUGGGACCUGUGGGGGCAUUGUGGGACCUACGGGGGCAUUAUGGGACCUAUGGGGGCAUUAUGGGAUCGUUAUGGGAUCUAUAGGGGCAGUGUGGGACCUACAGGGGCACUAUGGGACCUAUGGGGGCACUAUGGGAUCGUUAUGGGAUCUGUAGGGGCAGUGUGGGGCCUGUAGGGGCACUAUGGGACCUAUAGGGGCACUGCAGGACCUAUGGGGGCAUUAUGGGACCAUUAUGGGACUUAUAGGGGCACUAUGGGAGCUAUGGGGGAAGUGUGAGACCAUUAUGGGAUGUAUAGGUGCCAUUGGGUGCCAUUGGGUUCCACUGGGUUCCUUUGGGUGUUCCAUUGGGUGCCAUUGGGUUCCCUUGGAGUUCCACUGGGUUCCAUUGGGUUCCAUUGGAGUUCCAUUGGGUUCCACUGGGUGCCAUUGGGUUCCACUGGGUUCCAUUAAGUUCCAUUGGGUGCCAUUGGGUUCCAUUGGAGUUCCAUUGGGUUCCAUUGGGUUCCAUUAGGUUCCAUUGGUUUCCAUUGGGUUCCAUUAAGUUCCAUUGGUUUCCAUUGGGUGCCAUUGGGUUCCAUUGGCUUCCAUUGGGUGCCUUUGGGUGCCAUUGGCUUCCAUUGGGUGCCAUUGGGUUCCAUUGGGUGCCAUUGUGUGCAAUUGGGUUCCAUUGGCUGCCAUUGGUUUCGAUUGGUUUCCAUUGGUUGCCAUUGGGUGCCAUUGGGUGCCAUUGGGUGCCAUUGUGUUCCACUGGUUUCCAUUGGGUGCAAUUGGGUUCCAUUGGGUUCCAUUGGGUGCCAUUGGCUGCCAUUGGCUGCCAUUGGCUGCCAUUGUCUUCCAUUGGGUUCCUUUGGGUGUUCCAUUGGGUGACACUGGGUGACACUGGGUGACACUGGGUGCCCCCGCAGGCAUCAAUGACCUCAUCCACUUCGACUUCCUGGACCCCCCACCCCACGAGGCUCUGCUGUUGGCACUGGAGCAGCUCUACGCCCUCGGGGCCCUCAACCACCUCGGGGAGCUCACCACGGUACUGGGAGCACUGGGACGGACUGGGGUGGGACUGGGAUGGGUCUGGGAGGGACUGGGAUGGGACUGGAAUUGACUGGUGUGGGACCGGGGUGGGACUGGGAAGGACUGGGA
RNAcentral lists this long non-coding RNA (1243 nucleotides) under Phasianus colchicus (ring-necked pheasant). Its description in RNAcentral is "lncRNA (ENSPCLG00000017030.1)". Lineage: Eukaryota; Metazoa; Chordata; Aves; Galliformes; Phasianidae. The record is from RNAcentral.